This is a non-coding RNA of Lepisosteus oculatus (spotted gar), 46 nucleotides long. Lineage: Eukaryota; Metazoa; Chordata; Actinopteri; Semionotiformes; Lepisosteidae. The record is from Rfam.
CCAAAGGCUCUUCUAAGAGCCACCAGCCCUUCCGAGAGAGAGCGCA